This 253-nucleotide ribosomal RNA is filed under the name uncultured prokaryote. RNAcentral describes it as "partial 16S ribosomal RNA". It matches the Rfam family "Bacterial small subunit ribosomal RNA", at positions 524 to 776 of the family's 1533-position model. The record is from RNAcentral.
UACGUAGGCGGCAAGCGUUAUCCGGAUUUACUGGGCGUAAAGCGUGUGUAGGCGUCUCGUAAAGUCGGUGGUGAAAUAUUCAAGCUUAACUUGAAAAACGCUAUCGAUACUCACGGGAUUGAGUGUAAGAGAGGGCAUCGGAACUUUGUAAGUAGCAGUGAAAUGCGUUGAUAUACAAAGGAACACCAAAGGCGAAGGCAGGUGCCUAGAUUACCACUGACGCUGAGACACGAAAGCUAGGGGAGCGAAAGGG